AUCUACAGCCAUGCCAUCCUGAACAAGCCCAAUGGCUGAUCUUGGAACCUAAGCAGGGUUGGGUCUGGUUAGUAUUUGAAUGGGAAACCACCUAGGAAGACCAUGUGCUGUAGGCA
RNAcentral lists this ribosomal RNA (116 nucleotides) under Pteropus alecto (black flying fox). Lineage: Eukaryota; Metazoa; Chordata; Mammalia; Chiroptera; Pteropodidae. The record is from RNAcentral.